RNAcentral lists this unclassified non-coding RNA (592 nucleotides) under uncultured marine bacterium. Its description in RNAcentral is "partial contains 16S ribosomal RNA, 16S-23S ribosomal RNA intergenic spacer, and 23S ribosomal RNA". The stretch from base 480 to 592 matches the Rfam family "Bacterial large subunit ribosomal RNA", at positions 1 to 113 of the family's 2925-position model. The record is from RNAcentral.
ACCCUUGACCACGGUAUAGUCAGCGACUGGGGUGAAGUCGUAACAAGGUAGCCGUAGGGGAACCUGCGGCUGGAUUACCUCCUUUCUAAGGAUGAAUGAAAGUAAAAUUUUAUUCUAAAUAAUAUACAUCGGUAAUGUUGACCGUCCUCAUUUCUCUUCUUAAAGUAAUGUUUCCUUCUUGUAGGGCCGGUAGCUCAGUUGGUUAGAGCACACCCUUGAUAAGGGUGGGGUCGAAAGUUCGAGUCUUUCUCGGCCCACCACACUUAACUGGGGGAUUAGCUCAGCUGGGAGAGCGCCUGAUUUGCAUUCAGGAGGUCAGCGGUUCGAUCCCGCUAUCCUCCACCAGGAAACAUUUAGUUAUAAAAACUGUAAAUAAAUUUAAUAAUUAAUAUCAAUAUCUAUAUCCGAACAUUAGUAAUGUUAUUAGCUAAUGUUCAAAAUAAAAAUUUGAUUCAACACAGAAUUUUUUUCUGUGCAUAAAUUAAGCGUUUAAGGGCGUGUAGUGGAUGCCUUGGCACUGAAAGCCGAUGAAGGACGUGAUAUACUGCGAUAAGUUUCGGGGAGCUGUAUGUAAGUUUUGAUCCGAAAAUUU